UGGGGAAUAUUGCACAAUGGGGGAAACCCUGAUGCCGCGACGCCGCGUGAGCGAAGAAGGUUUUCGAAUCGUAAAGCUCUGUCCUAUGGGAAGAUAAUGACGGUACCAUAGGAGGAAGCCCCGGCUAACUACGUGCCAGCAGCCGCGGUAAUACGUAGGGGGCAAGCGUUGUCCGGAAUCACUGGGCGUAAAGGGUUCGCAGGCGGAAAUGCAAGUCAGUUGUGAAAGGCAGAGGCUCAACCUCUGUAAGCAAUUGAAACUGUAUUUCUAGAGAUGUGGAGAGGCAAGUGGAAUUCCUAGUGUAGCGGUGAAAUGCGUAGAUAUUAGGAAGAAUACCGGUGGCGAAGGCGACUUGCUGGACACAAACUGACGCUGAGGAACGAAAGCGUGGGUAGCAAACAGG
RNAcentral lists this ribosomal RNA (403 nucleotides) under Verrucomicrobiota bacterium. RNAcentral's name for it is "Verrucomicrobia bacterium partial 16S ribosomal RNA". It matches the Rfam family "Bacterial small subunit ribosomal RNA", at positions 355 to 776 of the family's 1533-position model. Lineage: Bacteria; Pseudomonadati; Verrucomicrobiota. The record is from RNAcentral.